CCUACGGGUGGCAGCAGUAGGGAAUCUUCCACAAUGGGCGCAAGCCUGAUGGAGCAACACCGCGUGAGUGAAGAAGGGUUUCGGCUCGUAAAGCUCUGUUGUUGGAGAAGAACGUGCGUGAGAGUAACUGUUCACGCAGUGACGGUAUCCAACCAGAAAGUCACGGCUAACUACGUGCCAGCAGCCGCGGUAAUACGUAGGUGGCAAGCGUUAUCCGGAUUUAUUGGGCGUAAAGCGAGCGCAGGCGGUUGGUUAGGUCUGAUGUGAAAGCCUUCGGCUUAACCGAAGGAGUGCAUCGGAAACCGGGCGACUUGAGUGGGGAAGAGGCCGGUGGAACGCGAGGUGUAGCGGUGGAAUGCAUAGAUAUAUGGAAGAACACCGGUGGCGAAGGCGGCUGUCUGGUCUGCAACUGACGCUGAGGCUCGAAAGCAUGGGUAGCGAACAGGAUUAGAUACCCGUGUAGUC
This 465-nucleotide ribosomal RNA is filed under the name uncultured bacterium. RNAcentral's name for it is "partial 16S ribosomal RNA". It matches the Rfam family "Bacterial small subunit ribosomal RNA", at positions 338 to 795 of the family's 1533-position model. The record is from RNAcentral.